RNAcentral lists this ribosomal RNA (435 nucleotides) under Triticum aestivum (bread wheat). RNAcentral's name for it is "partial small subunit ribosomal RNA". Lineage: Eukaryota; Viridiplantae; Streptophyta; Magnoliopsida; Poales; Poaceae. The record is from RNAcentral.
AUGCCGGACAUGCAGAACGAAUUUAAUGCAGUGCUCAUGAAGACCACUAAAGAAGAGUUGAAGACGCUGAUUCCUGACCCAACGAAGGGCGCGGUGGCAGUUGACAUCAUUCGCCGGGCCCUGAAUCAGGCCGUCUCCGACAACGCUAAACAGAGGAAGAAGUGGUGCAAGUACAAGACCUACUGGGCUCCAAAUGAUCGCCGUGCCGCAGUGUAUUGGGAGACGGCUAUCGCGCCGCCGGCGGUCAUCGGUGGGGAGCCUAAGGAGGAGGAAGAAGAAGCGGUGCACAUGCCAGCGAGGGUGCCAGAGCGAGGCCGUCGUGUUGGGGAACGUAGCAAUAAUUCAAAAAAAUUCCUACGUGUCACCAAGAUCAAUCUAGGAGAUGCUAGCAACGAGAGAGAGGGAGUGCAUCUUCAUAACCUUGAAGAUCGCUAA